GGGGGCGUAGCUCAGCUGGGAGAGCGCUUGACUGGCAGUCAAGAGGUCAGGGGUUCAAUCCCCCUCGUCUCCACC
Molecule: transfer RNA, 75 nt
Filed under: Collinsella aerofaciens
Lineage: Bacteria; Bacillati; Actinomycetota; Coriobacteriia; Coriobacteriales; Coriobacteriaceae
Description: tRNA-Ala(ggc)
Rfam family: tRNA
About the family: Transfer RNA (tRNA) molecules are approximately 80 nucleotides in length. Their secondary structure includes four short double-helical elements and three loops (D, anti-codon, and T loops).
Source: RNAcentral